UGAGCCUGGCUGUCAAGGUCGCGUACUGUUUAGAGUAGGGCCCUACAAAAAUAGAAAGCUUCUUAAGAGAAGGGGAGGCAAGUCGUAACAUGUAAAGUG
RNAcentral lists this ribosomal RNA (99 nucleotides) under Chilatherina sp. ZSM 34143. RNAcentral describes it as "partial 12S ribosomal RNA". Lineage: Eukaryota; Metazoa; Chordata; Actinopteri; Atheriniformes; Melanotaeniidae. The record is from RNAcentral.